UCUCUCUCUCUCUCUCUCUCUCAUGCUAUUCUUUAUCUUUUAAACAUUCUUGUUUAUCUCUUCUUCUUUGCAUGUCCAAAUCUCAGUUUUUUUUUGUAAAUUUCAAAAGAAAAUUCAAUACAAUCCAAUCCAAGAAUGUUUGUUUUUCCUCAAGAGGUAUUCGAGGUAUGAAAACUAGUUUUUGCUACUAGGUCACAUGCAUAAAGAACAUGUUAGUUUUGAGUGUGAUUACACGGCGGCGCGUGCGUGGACUCGUCUUUGGAAGAAGUGGGUGGGCCAUUUCUGUUUUCACAUGCAAGGGUUGUUCCCAAGGAACAAUCAAGGGUCGCUUGGGAUCAUGAACUUAGAACCCGCCGUCUCUUCCACCGCUCUCCAUCAAAACUUUUAGGUAUAUGGUAAAACAAAGCUCCUUAUAUCAUCUUUAAAUCUAUUUUGAACAAAUACCUUAUUUUGAAGAAAAAAAAAACAAAUAAUAAAAAUAUGAAAACUCAAUUUUUAUGAUUAGAAACUAAAAUAUCAGUAGUUUUUAAAUCAAUAGAUGGAAAAAAAAACAUGCACUUUUAAAAUGCGGGUCAAAAUCUAGUUUUAGUUGAAAAAGAAUAGAGAAUCUCUAUAAUAUAUAUUGUGUUUGUUCCAAUGUAUUCUUAUACAAUAAUAUUACUCGAAAUUUUGAGUUAAAAUAUAAAUCAUUACUUAUUUUCCUAAUAUAGAAAAAUAGCAAUUUUAUUUUAGGAAAAUAAAUAAAAUAGAUUACAGUGGAUUUACCUUUACAUACUGUUACAUUUUAUUCAUCUUUCUUCUCCUUUUAAAAGGAGUAAUCGUUUGAAAAGAUUAACAAUGAGUGAAUUUUGCUGUGCAUGGUCAAGACGUGGUGAUGUUUCCAUAACAAGCUUUUAUCGUCAGUUACCAAUAUAUGAGCUGAAAGGCACAUUCUUAUUUUGAAUAUAUUGAAUGUUUUCGAGGAAAUCCGGUGAUGGACAAUGAUCUCUAAAAUGCCAUAUGUAUAUGAUUUCCAAGUAUAUGAGUAAAAUCCAGCGAUGGACAUUGAUCUUGUUUGCAAUGUAUCAAUAAUGUGCUAUUCUUUUAGUGUAUAUAUAUAUAAGUCUUACAGUGAGUAUUGGGCUACUUCAGACUUUAGUUUAGUGCCAAGUCUCUGAUGGAUUAAGAACAUAUCAGGCUAUGAAUUAACCCGCCUUGCGUGUUUGUUUUGUAUCUAUGCAUGCAUCUUACGCUGAGGGCACAGACUCCUCGGUUUUCUUUUCUUCAACAGCUUUCUCUGCGUGCAUCUGCUGAUGCUACCUU
Molecule: long non-coding RNA, 1302 nt
Filed under: Brassica napus (rape)
Lineage: Eukaryota; Viridiplantae; Streptophyta; Magnoliopsida; Brassicales; Brassicaceae
Description: long non-coding RNA (BNAP_LNC012176)
Source: RNAcentral